Molecule: non-coding RNA, 768 nt
Filed under: Pongo abelii (Sumatran orangutan)
Lineage: Eukaryota; Metazoa; Chordata; Mammalia; Primates; Hominidae
Source: RNAcentral
GAGGUGGGCAAGUUAGUUGCUCCAAAUACAAGAUAAAGUGAUUGAGUUCUUUUCUCAAGCGGGAGUCGGAGUUUAUCCACUCUUAGAGCCCCAGCAGCUACUAUUAAUGAGUGUCUGGAAUAUGUUCCUGGCAUUUCACCUACACUCUCUCCAAUCCUUCCAAGAAACUCACAAAGCAGGGCUUUUUCUUGAACUUCUCUUCCUCACAACAGUUAAAUCAUCCAUUUAAAGAUGUCAGACAAGCUCUGUGUUCUAAGGACACAGCAUGUACAACCUCACAUAGAGUUCCUGACCAGACAAGACUCGCUGGAAAUUUCCCAGGAUCUUCCUUCCUUAAGCAUCCAUCAUGGGAAGCCACCUUGCCCUAGGGAGAGCUCCUGACCUAGGGUGGUUAGAAAAUAUUAAGGAAGACAGCAAUUAAUAAAUUCAAAAAUAAUAAUAAUUACAAAUUGGGAAGCCAGUUGCCAUGUCAUGAGGACACUCAAGCAGGCCUAUGGAGAGGCUCACAAGGAGAGGGACAGAGCUCCCCUGCCAACAGACAGCACUAACUUGCUGACAGUGAGAGUAAGCCACUUUGGAAGAGGAUCCUCCCUCCAGCCCCAGUCAAGCCUUCAGAUUCCUGCAGUUCUAACUGACAUCUGACUGCAACCACAUCAAUGGCCCCUCCCUUCCAUCACUUAAGCAGUGUGAGCUAUCCAGCCUAGCUCUUCCUAGACUCCUGACCAACAGAAAAAGUGAGAGAAAAUAAAUGAUUAUUGUUUUAACCCA